CACUAUCGUUAACUGAAUACAUAGGUUAACGAGGCGAACCGGGGGAACUGAAACAUCUAAGUACCCCGAGGAAAAGAAAUCAACCGAGAUUCCCCCAGUAGCGGCGAGCGAACGGGGAGCAGCCCAGAGUCUGAAUCAGCUUGUGUGUUAGUGGAACGGUCUGGAAAGUCCGACGGUACAGGGUGAUAGUCCCGUACACCAAAAUGCACAGGUUGUGAACUCGAAGAGUAGGGCGGGACACGUGGUAUCCUGUCUGAAUAUGGGGGGACCAUCCUCCAAGGCUAAAUACUCCUGACUGACCGAUAGUGAACCAGUACCGUGAGGGAAAGGCGAAAAGAACCCCGGCGAGGGGAGUGAAAAAGAACCUGAAACCGUGUACGUACAAGCAGUGGGAGCACCUUCGGGUGUGACUGCGUACCUUUUGUAUAAUGGGUCAGCGACUUAUAUUCUGUAGCAAGGUUAACCGUAUAGGGGAGCCGCAGGGAAACCGAGUCUUAACUGGGCGUUAAGUUGCAGGGUAUAGACCCGAAACCCGGUGAUCUAGCCAUGGGCAGGUUGAAGGUUGGGUAACACUAACUGGAGGACCGAACCGACUAAUGUUGAAAAAUUAGCGGAUGACUUGUGGCUGGGGGUGAAAGGCCAAUCAAACCGGGAGAUAGCUGGUUCUCCCCGAAAGCUAUUUAGGUAGCGCCUCGUGAACUCAUCUUCGGGGGUAGAGCACUGUUUCGGCUAGGGGGUCAUCCCGACUUACCAACCCGAUGCAAACUACGAAUACCGAAGAAUGUUAUCACGGGAGACACACGGCGGGUGCUAACGUCCGUCGUGAAGAGGGAAACAACCCAGACCGCCAGCUAAGGUCCCAAAGUCAUGGUUAAGUGGGAAACGAUGUGGGAAGGCACAGACAGCCAGGAUGUUGGCUUAGAAGCAGCCAUCAUUUAAAGAAAGCGUAAUAGCUCACUGGUCGAGUCGGCCUGCGCGGAAGAUGUAACGGGGCUAAACCAUGCACCGAAGCUGCGGCAGCGACACUAUGUGUUGUUGGGUAGGGGAGCGUUCUGUAAGCCUGCGAAGGUGUGCUGUGAGGCAUGCUGGAGGUAUCAGAAGUGCGAAUGCUGACAUAAGUAACGAUAAAGCGGGUGAAAAGCCCGCUCGCCGGAAGACCAAGGGUUCCUGUCCAACGUUAAUCGGGGCAGGGUGAGUCGACCCCUAAGGCGAGGCCGAAAGGCGUAGUCGAUGGGAAACAGGUUAAUAUUCCUGUACUUGGUGUUACUGCGAAGGGGGGACGGAGAAGGCUAUGUUAGCCGGGCGACGGUUGUCCCGGUUUAAGCAUGUAGGCUGGUUAUCCAGGCAAAUCCGGAUAAUCAAGGCUGAGGUGUGAUGACGAGGCACUACGGUGCUGAAGUAACAAAUGCCCUGCUUCCAGGAAAAGCCUCUAAGCAUCAGGUAACAUCAAAUCGUACCCCAAACCGACACAGGUGGUCAGGUAGAGAAUACCAAGGCGCUUGAGAGAACUCGGGUGAAGGAACUAGGCAAAAUGGUGCCGUAACUUCGGGAGAAGGCACGCUGGUGUGUAGGUGAAGUCCCUGCGGAUGGAGCUGAGACCAGUCGAAGAUACCAGCUGGCUGCAACUGUUUAUUAAAAACACAGCACUGUGCAAACACGAAAGUGGACGUAUACGGUGUGACGCCUGCCCGGUGCCGGAAGGUUAAUUGAUGGGGUUAUCCGUAAGGAGAAGCUCUUGAUCGAAGCCCCGGUAAACGGCGGCCGUAACUAUAACGGUCCUAAGGUAGCGAAAUUCCUUGUCGGGUAAGUUCCGACCUGCACGAAUGGCGUAAUGAUGGCCAGGCUGUCUCCACCCGAGACUCAGUGAAAUUGAACUCGCUGUGAAGAUGCAGUGUACCCGCGGCAAGACGGAAAGACCCCGUGAACCUUUACUAUAGCUUGACACUGAACAUUGAGCCUUGAUGUGUAGGAUAGGUGGGAGGCUUUGAAGCGUGGACGCCAGUCUGCGUGGAGCCAACCUUGAAAUACCACCCUUUAAUGUUUGAUGUUCUAACGUUGGCCCCUGACCGGGGUUGCGGACAGUGUCUGGUGGGUAGUUUGACUGGGGCGGUCUCCUCCCAAAGCGUAACGGAGGAGCACGAAGGUUAGCUAAUCCUGGUCGGACAUCAGGAGGUUAGUGCAAUGGCAUAAGCUAGCUUGACUGCGAGCGUGACGGCGCGAGCAGGUGCGAAAGCAGGUCAUAGUGAUCCGGUGGUUCUGAAUGGAAGGGCCAUCGCUCAACGGAUAAAAGGUACUCCGGGGAUAACAGGCUGAUACCGCCCAAGAGUUCAUAUCGACGGCGGUGUUUGGCACCUCGAUGUCGGCUCAUCACAUCCUGGGGCUGAAGUAGGUCCCAAGGGUAUGGCUGUUCGCCAUUUAAAGUGGUACGCGAGCUGGGUUUAGAACGUCGUGAGACAGUUCGGUCCCUAUCUGCCGUGGGCGCUGGAGAAUUGAGGGGGGCUGCUCCUAGUACGAGAGGACCGGAGUGGACGCAUCACUGGUGUUCGGGUUGUCAUGCCAAUGGCACUGCCCGGUAGCUAAAUGCGGAAGAGAUAAGUGCUGAAAGCAUCUAAGCACGAAACUUGCCCCGAGAUGAGUUCUCCCUGAGACUUUAAGUCUCCUGAAGGAACGUUAAAGACGAUGACGUUGAUAGGCCGGGUGUGUAAGCGCAGCGAUGCGUUGAGCUAACCGGUACUAAUGAACCGUGAGGCUUAACCUU
RNAcentral lists this ribosomal RNA (2758 nucleotides) under Klebsiella pneumoniae. RNAcentral describes it as "bacterial LSU rRNA". It matches the Rfam family "Bacterial large subunit ribosomal RNA". The record is from RNAcentral. Lineage: Bacteria; Pseudomonadati; Pseudomonadota; Gammaproteobacteria; Enterobacterales; Enterobacteriaceae.